Molecule: unclassified non-coding RNA, 148 nt
Organism: Macaca fascicularis (crab-eating macaque)
Lineage: Eukaryota; Metazoa; Chordata; Mammalia; Primates; Cercopithecidae
Rfam family: Metazoan signal recognition particle RNA
About the family: The signal recognition particle (SRP) is a universally conserved ribonucleoprotein. It is involved in the co-translational targeting of proteins to membranes.
Source: Ensembl
GUCAAGCAUGGUGGUGUAUGCCUGUAGUUCCAGCUGCUUGGGAGGCUGAGGCAGGAGGAUCACUUGAGCCCAGGAGGUCCAGGCUGCAGUGAGCUAUGUUCAUGCCACUGCACUCCAGCCUGGGCAACAAAGUGAGAUCCUGUCUCAA